AAGGAAUAUUGGUCAAUGGACGAAAGUCUGAACCAGCUAUGCCGCGUGGAGGAUGAAGGCCCUCUGGGUUGUAAACUUCUUUUAUAUGGGACGAAAAAGGGCCUUUCUAGGUCAACUGACGGUACCAUGUGAAUAAGCACCGGCUAACUCCGUGCCAGCAGCCGCGGUAAUACGGAGGGUGCAAGCGUUAUCCGGAUUCACUGGGUUUAAAGGGUGCGUAGGUGGGUUGGUAAGUCAGUGGUGAAAUCCCCGAGCUUAACUUGGGAACUGCCAUUGAUACUAUUAGUCUUGAAUACCGUGGAGGUCGGCGGAAUAUGUCAUGUAGCGGUGAAAUGCUUAGAUAUGACAUAGAACACCAAUUGCGAAGGCAGCUGGCUACACGAGUAUUGACACUGAGGCACGAAAGCGUGGGGAUCAAAC
This 420-nucleotide ribosomal RNA is filed under the name uncultured bacterium. Its description in RNAcentral is "bacterial SSU rRNA". It matches the Rfam family "Bacterial small subunit ribosomal RNA", at positions 356 to 773 of the family's 1533-position model. The record is from RNAcentral.